This is a long non-coding RNA of Daucus carota subsp. sativus, 1931 nucleotides long. RefSeq lists it as uncharacterized. The record is from RefSeq and is a predicted model, not a curated record. The transcript has 13 exons. Lineage: Eukaryota; Viridiplantae; Streptophyta; Magnoliopsida; Apiales; Apiaceae.
UAUAAACACGUGGCUGCCGCACCCAAUCUCUCAUCUAUACAGCUCAUCUACACAGCAGUACCAAUGUACCACUAGGUUUCAAAAUUCAAAAACAUUAUGCCCCAGCCUCUCCCGCGUGAGAUCCGAUUAAUUUCGCCUCCUUUUCACGAUUAUUGGGAGCUGUUCUUCAUCUUCUUCUCCGAGUCUUGGUUUUGGCUAUAAAAGAGGUUUCUUCUAUGCCCUUUAUUACACAGAAGAGAAUCUUGGUUCUUGAUUUUAUUCAAAUCUGAAUCCCACUAAGCUUGAUUCGAGAGUAUUUAGAGGAGUAUAGAUCUAUGAUUUGAAGCGCAGCUGAGCUUUUUCGAGAAACUGUUACCAUUCCCCAAAUGCAUCCCAAUCCAAUUUCAAUUUUUAAUUCAAAUUCUCAAGUCUCGACAAGUUGAUUAUGACUCAUGGUUGAGGAGGGAGCGGAUUCGAAACCACAAAUCAAAUUUUGCAGAUGCCCAAUUUUCACACAUUGCUCAACUUGGUCCAGUGGAACUCAGUGGAAGUACUGUUGGACAAGUUUCUCGGAAAUCAUCCAAUACAUGUCAAACUUUCAAAAUUAAUUGAAAUUGUGGCAGAUAGUGCAAGGAUCGGAAACAAAUAAAUCUUGGCUUCCAAAACAAAGAAUUGACGAGGUAUUACUUGAUUCCACGAAGGUCAAGAAAUGGUUGGAGGAGAAAGUGGCUAAACAGGCUAGUUUGUCUACAAGGCACAGAAAAUCAUCAAAAAAAAGAGAGAAUCUGCAGCUGUCUUUCUCACUGGCAGAUUAUUAGAAACAAUGAGGAGAUAUAGAUGAUGAUGAAUGUAGAGGAUACUUCACAUUUUAAAAACUGAGCCAGCGCAAGAAGAGUCUUUGAUGGAGAGGGUGGAUUCCUAGAGAAUGCUGGAUUAUUAUUGGCGUAUAAGUGGCUAAUUAUAGGUGAUAUUUAGUAGAAAAGUGAUCAACAUGGUUCCAGUGUUGGUAUACAUACAAUGACAAGUAUAUUUUCAGUUAAUGACUCUAAUCACUUGGAAAGUCCUUUCACAUAUACAGGCUUUUCAUUUCUCUACAUAUAAUGUUUGAUUCCCUGGAAAAUAUAGUGACCGUUGAACAAUGAAUCUAAUCAUGAAUGCUAAUAAUCACACAGUUUUAGUCCAAAUAUUCCUUUUAUAUUGUUACUCAUCUUCACUUAACAUCACCUGCAGAUGGUCAUUAGCAACGUAUAAUCAAUCGGCUUGAUGGGGCAGGGCAGCAUUUGGAUGCCUUUGAUUUGGCAAAGGAAAGGAAUUUUUUAGGUAGCAUGCUCCCGGAUCAAAACCACGGAAACAUAUGAGGAGUUUCCAGUCACAUGUUGGAAACUCACGUGGUAAAUAUUCAUGCUUAUGUACACGUCGUGUGUUCGGUUUCUGCAGUGAGAUGUUCCAGAAUAGCUUUUGAUCAUGUGUUGUUUACAUACAUACAGAAAUUUGGCAGAUAAUCAGCCAAGUGGAAGCAUAUUACUGGAAAUAGGAAGUGGUCAGGAUUUUCUCUGCGAGUUUGAUCAUGCUUUUUUCGGUACCCCUUUAUGGUGCAAUGGACAUCGCCCUUAAACUAUACACCUCUUCAUUCAAAGGGAAAACCAGAUGAGUUGGAGUACAUGGUUCAGAGAAUGAAGAUCAUGUCCUUAAAACAUAAAGAAGCAAAAAUGCCAAACGAAAGCAGAAUCAUGGUGUGGAAGUAGUCUUUAUAAAUUUUAUUACAAGUAUUUUAUUUGUGAUUUUAUUUCUGGAUGUUAGAAAAUUAGUCAAAAUAUUAGUGAGAUGAAUAUGUGAAAUAGAUAUCUAAGAAGAUGAAGCCAGUUUGGCUUUUGCCUAUUUGUAUUGUUUUGUUAUAAUUUUAAUUGAUUCUAAUUUUCAAGUCCACGUAUCACACCGAUAUCUAAGAUGAA